UUAACUAAAAUUUGUAUGGAGAUGGAACGUUUGCCUGCGUUCGCCGCUAGGGGCGCUGUACCAACUCCAUACAAAUUUGAGUUA
This is a non-coding RNA of Bombyx mori (domestic silkworm), 84 nucleotides long. The record is from Rfam. Lineage: Eukaryota; Metazoa; Arthropoda; Insecta; Lepidoptera; Bombycidae.